UAAAAACAGGAGAGAACAUUUUCAUGGUC
Molecule: non-coding RNA, 29 nt
Filed under: Mus musculus (house mouse)
Lineage: Eukaryota; Metazoa; Chordata; Mammalia; Rodentia; Muridae
Source: RNAcentral